UAAAAGAUAACUUGUAGUAUAUCAAAGUUGUACUUCAAUUGAGCUAUAAUAUUUGCUAGUAGAUGAUUAGGUUGCAUAUGCAUUUGGCUUGUGGUUCUUACUUUGAAAUUGUAUCUAUCUAAAAAUAAGACUUGUAGUAUUUUAAAAUUAUUACUCAAGUGAGGUAUUAGCAGCUUAUUUGAGUGUUGUUUUUCUUGUCGAGAUGCAAUACCUUCAUCCUUUUCCAUUAGGCCUUCUAUUUUUAUGUCCAAAUAUUGUAUUAGCUAUGUUUUAGUGGAUAUAUGACUUAUGGAAGUUAGCCAACUAAUAGUCCUUAGGAAUGUUAAUCUUA
This 331-nucleotide long non-coding RNA is filed under the name Physcomitrium patens. Its description in RNAcentral is "long non-coding RNA (PPAT_LNC014722)". Lineage: Eukaryota; Viridiplantae; Streptophyta; Bryopsida; Funariales; Funariaceae. The record is from RNAcentral.